Molecule: ribosomal RNA, 248 nt
Filed under: uncultured bacterium
Lineage: Bacteria
Description: partial 16S ribosomal RNA
Rfam family: Bacterial small subunit ribosomal RNA
Source: RNAcentral
GAUCAUGGCUCAGGAUGAACGCUGGCGGCAUGCCUAAGACAUGCAAGUCGUACGAAGCGGCCCAAUGAUUUAUUUAGAAACACUGAGAGCUUGCUCAAAGUGUGGAAAAAUAAUGAUUUGGAUUUUCCGCUUAGUGGCAAACGGGUGAGUAACACGUGGGUUACCUACCUCCUAGAUGGGGAUACCAAUUGGAAACGAUUGUUAAUACCGAAUGUGAUCUAUGGAUUAAAGAAGCCUUUAAAGCUUCG